This 1739-nucleotide long non-coding RNA is filed under the name Mus musculus (house mouse). Its description in RNAcentral is "long non-coding RNA chr6:37884347-37886086". The record is from RNAcentral. Lineage: Eukaryota; Metazoa; Chordata; Mammalia; Rodentia; Muridae.
GGUCAGCAACUCUCUGUGUCUGUGUCCUUGUGUCCUUGAGUGUGAGCAUUGCUAAUUCUGUUUCUAUUUUGUUGAUAUCUAGAUCAUCCUGUUUAUUCUGUGUAGUUAAAACUGACACCAUAGCUAGGCACAAGUUUGCAGCAUUUAAAGGUCUGAGUCUGACAAAGUAUAGCCUCCCCUUCCUCAAUCAACUCCCUAGCUGUUUCCAUGGGGCAGGUUUGUGUGUGUGUGUGUGUGUGUGUGUAUUGUUCCCUGACAUCAACUGUACUGUUGUUUUUCUGCACCUCUAUCUUCCUUAGUGUUGUUCAUGUCAGCACAUGGUUUCAGAAGGUCUUCCUUUCUUCAGGAGAUCUUUCCUGAAUAAUCUUCAUUUUGAUAGAAUCCACAGCUUUCUUCUCUUAUGGAAACAAAGACAAAACCUCUUCCCCAAAGCAACACAUUUUCUUCCUUCCAUUCUGAAAUUAUGGCAUCCCUGUCAUAUUUCAGUAGUUUUUUCCACAAUUCAUUGUCUUUUCAGCAGCUGUUGUUUUGCUCAUUAGCAUUUAAAAUAUAAAUUUAAUAAAGUACUAUAUAAUCUAUCUCUGGAGAGGGCAUUGUUACCUCUUUCUGUUUGUUAAGCAUCUCUUAGAGAAUGAUUAGAUCUUUCUACAACUGCUUGUCCUGUGAGAUUGUGUUACCUGCCUGUAAUGUGCUUUUUGUUGAAGUAUGCAAAAAAAAUCUUCAUUUUAUGAGAAAUCUAUGUCAGCCUUAGUUUGUAGGUAUCCCCAUAAUAGUCCUAACUUCUAGUAAGUGUGUAAUUACAGAAUCGCCCUUUUCAGAACUUAAACCAGUUACCAUUGAACAAUUAUACAAUAAAAUGUACAUACUUUAAUAUCCCAAACUCUUUAAAAGGAAACACAUUUUCCAAAUAUCUUUUUUUCCGGGGGGUGGGGUGGUACCUUUUGGGUUACUUCUUGCAGGCAAUGUAGUUUUGUUAUACAAAGAACAAGUAGGACAUUGCCUUACUUCCUUGCCUUGUUGCCAAGUGAUAGAAAAAAAUCUUCAAACUUUUGCUACUAAUAUCGUGAUUCUUCUGAAAUUAUGAGACUUCUAACAUAUUUCUGGUUGAUAACUGAGCACUGUCAUUAUUACGUUGUGCUAGAUGUGUUACAUAACGGAUGAUUUUUAUUUCUAACUGCUUGCUGAAGGUGAAUAAAUAAGCUAAUUCUAAAUGAUCUGGAAUAAAUUCCACAGUUUCUAUAUGUAAAACAACCCUUUUUGCAUAUUGAAAAUUGGUAACAAUACUAGGAGGUCCAGAAAAAUUAAAUAAUACUUUAAGAAUGGUAUAUAGCUCUGGUUUGGGGGGGGGUUGUUUUGUUUUGUUUUAAGAUUUUAUUUAUUUUAUCUACAUGAGUAUACUGUCACUGUCAGAUCUUAUUACAGAUCUCUUUACAGAUGGUUGUGAGCCACCAUGUGGUUGCUGGGGUUUGAACUCAGGACCUCAGGAAGAGCAGUCAGUGCUCCUAACCACUGAGCUAUCUCUCCAGCCCAGCUCUAGUUUUUUGAACUGCAUCAUAAGGGCUCUGAGUCACUUUAUUUUUCCUGACUUAAUAACUUGCCUUCCCUGAUUUAUUUGCAUCCAUAUAGAAUGUAGGUGUUCCAGAAAUUGGUCUGCCUUUUACUGUAUGAGGGAGAAUUCAAUUAGUUCCUUUUAUAAACUGAAGUCUCUUAUUUCAGGGAUAUUUGUUAUUAAUCUUUCC